AAGAAAAGGUCUGAAGGAAAUCAUUAAGAGAGUGUCUAUGUGUUAGCUACUUUUCCACAGCUGUGAUCGAAUACUCUGACAGAAAGCAAGUUAAGGAUAAAGGUUGGGCUUACAGUUCCAGAGUGAUACAGUCCACCAUGCUGGGGAAGGUACAGGAGCAGGAGCAUGAGUGAUCACAUAUUAUCUGCAUACAGGAAGAAGAGCGAGAGAGAGAACAGGAAGUGGAAGCAGGCCACAAAACCUCAAAGCCCGCCCUUCAGUGAUAUACUUCUUCAUUGAUAUUCCAUUUCCUAAAGAUUCAAUAACUUUCCUAAACCAGCAACUGAGGAUCAAAUUUUCAAAUGCAUGAGCCAGUGGGGAACGUUUCUCCCUCAAACCACAAGUCACAAUGGCCGUGAUGGCUAAUCUUCAUUGUCAGCUUGACUAGAAUCACCAUGGAAACACACCUCCAGGGUGUCUGUGGAGGAUUUUCUAGUGGGAAGAUUCAGCCUAAAUAUUGCUGACUGCAGAUGCAAGGUGACCAAACGCCUCCCUUCCUGAUGCUAUGGCUUCCCUGCCGCGGUGGACCAUAUUUCCUCAAACUGUAAGCAAAAAUGAACCUUUCCCAGCUUGAGUAACUUCUCUCAGGUAUUUGGUCACAGCAAUAAACCGAGUAAUUAGUAUAAUGACUAUGAGGAUUUUGAAGUGGAUUUGAGGCCCCAAAAGAUGUAUCUUCAGCC
Non-coding RNA from Peromyscus maniculatus bairdii (prairie deer mouse), 719 nucleotides. The record is from RefSeq and is a predicted model, not a curated record. NCBI's taxonomy places the organism in Eukaryota, Metazoa, Chordata, Mammalia, Rodentia, Cricetidae.